AAGUCGUAACAAGGUUUCCGUAGGUGAACCUGCGGAAGGAUCAUUAUCGAGUAUUUGAAAGAGGUUGUAGCUGGCCUUUCGGGGCAUUGUGCACGCCUUGCUCAAUUCCAACUCUUUAACACCUGUGCACUCAUUGUAGGUUGGUUCAUUAGCGGAAACGCUAAGAGACCUUCCUAUGUUUAUAACAAACUCUUUGUUGUAUUAUGAAUGUAUCACUGCGCUUUUAAUAACGCAUUAAAUAUAACUUUCAGCAACGGAUCUCUUGGCUCUC
This 271-nucleotide unclassified non-coding RNA is filed under the name Skeletocutis diluta. RNAcentral describes it as "partial internal transcribed spacer region". The stretch from base 1 to 46 matches the Rfam family "Eukaryotic small subunit ribosomal RNA", at positions 1786 to 1831 of the family's 1831-position model. The record is from RNAcentral. Lineage: Eukaryota; Fungi; Basidiomycota; Agaricomycetes; Polyporales; Incrustoporiaceae.